This 881-nucleotide ribosomal RNA is filed under the name Candidatus Pelagibacter sp. RNAcentral's name for it is "partial 23S ribosomal RNA". It matches the Rfam family "Bacterial large subunit ribosomal RNA", at positions 1 to 937 of the family's 2925-position model. Lineage: Bacteria; Pseudomonadati; Pseudomonadota; Alphaproteobacteria; Candidatus Pelagibacterales; Candidatus Pelagibacteraceae. The record is from RNAcentral.
AAUCAAGCGUUUAAGGGCGUGUAGUGGAUGCCUUGGCACUGAAAGCCGAUGAAGGACGUGAUAUACUGCGAUAAGUUUCGGGGAGCUGUAUGUAAGCUUUGAUCCGAAAAUUUCCGAAUGGGGAAACCCACCACUUUAUGUGGUACUUUAAACUGAAUACAUAGGUUUAAAGAGACAACCUGGAGAACUGAAACAUCUAAGUAACCAGAGGAAAAGAAAUCAAUUGAGAUUCCGUUAGUAGUGGCGAGCGAACGCGGAGUAGGCCAGUAGUUUUGUUAGAAAAAUUUGAAUAGUUUGGAAAUGCUAACCAUAGAGGGUGAUAGUCCCGUAUGAGUAAUGUCUAACAAAAUUCUUGAGUAAAGCGGGACACGAGAAAUCCUGCUCGAAUAUAGGGGGACCACCCUCUAAGCCUAAAUACUCUUCAGUGACCGAUAGUGAACUAGUACCGUGAGGGAAAGGUGAAAAGAACCCCUAUUAGGGGAGUGAAAUAGAACCUGAAACUGCAUGCCUACAAUCAGUCCGAGCCCUUUUUAGGGUGAGGGCGUACCUUUUGUAUAAUGGGUCAGUGACUUAAUUUAUUAAGCAAGCUUAAGCCAUCUAGGUGUAGGCGCAGCGAAAGCAAGUCUUAAUAGGGCGAUUAGUUUAAUGAAUUAGACCCGAAAACGAAUGAGCUUACCAUGAGCAGGUUGAAAGUUGGGUAACACCAACCGGAGGACCGAACCAGUUGACGUUGAAAAGUCUUUGGAUGACUUGUGGUAAGGGGUGAAAGGCCAACCAAAUUCGUAGAUAGCUGGUUUUCCGCGAAAACUAUUUAGGUAGUGCGUCGAAUAAAUAGAUGUUUAGAGGUAGAGCACUAAAUGGGCUAGGGGGAAGAGAUUCUU